Rattus norvegicus (Norway rat) is the source of this 69-nucleotide non-coding RNA. The record is from Rfam. Lineage: Eukaryota; Metazoa; Chordata; Mammalia; Rodentia; Muridae.
GGGGACUUAGCUCAGUGGUAGAGCGCUUGCCUAGCAAGCACAAGGCCCUGGGUUCGGUCCCCAGCUCUG